RNAcentral lists this long non-coding RNA (6049 nucleotides) under Taeniopygia guttata (zebra finch). RNAcentral's name for it is "lncRNA (ENSTGUG00000024416.1)". Lineage: Eukaryota; Metazoa; Chordata; Aves; Passeriformes; Estrildidae. The record is from RNAcentral.
UUUUUUUUUUUUUUCCCCACUCUCUUUCCCCCCAGUUGUUUGUGGUUUUGCUUGAAAGGGCAUUAUUAACUCCUUCACCUCCCAGCUGGAAAGGGCUCUCUUGGCUAAGCUAUUUUAUGUAUUUCUGGAGCAAAAGAAUAAAGUGCUGGAUUUCAAAAACACAGACUCAAAAAAGGGGAGCAGUGAUGGAAAAGAUUUUACGUUGAAACUGCUACUGUAGGAUAACCCCAGCUAGUCAAGCAGAGCUCCCAUUAUGGAUUUACAGGAGCCCUCACCACUUUUGCAAGGCACAGGAUGAGACCAUGCCAAGCUGGUGCUCAAAAGCAUCGAUUUAAGGGGCAGAAGGUGAGAGGUUUGGUAAAAGCAUGGCAGGAGGUGACAGUCCUGGCUGGUCCACUCCAUGCUGCUGCUGGACAGGGCUGGCACCCCUCCCUGGCACAGCAUGUGCACAAAGCCUUGCUUUUGGGUGAAAAACUGGGAAUUCUGGGCUUCCUUGCUGCCUAACUACAAAAAAAGGCAAAAGGUGCACUUUUGCACAGGGACUGUGUUCAGUGCCAUGUCACACCUCCCUGUGGCUGAGCAUGAAGUCCUCAACACACCAGGGACACACAUAAAUCGUGGGAAAAGCUGAGAAAUGCUCGCUGGAAGUUUUAAAACAUAGAGGAUUAAUUUCCCCUGUUGUCCAUACUAGAUGAGGGACUGGGAAGUUGGCAUUUAAACCAUUUUUUCCCCUUCCUCACUCCAGUUGCAGCUGCAGACAGUGGGUAUGGUCUCUCUCCCGUGGGGAGGCUGGGCUGGGUGCUCAUGUCCACACCUGCACUGCUCCAAGAGCUUUCCCAGCUGAAGUCCUGGAGCUUCGAGGGAAUGCUAGAAACAGAGAUGACUUCAAUAUUUGGCAGCUGAUAGGAUAAGUUAUCUUUUCCCUUUUAAAUAGAAUAUGUUAUGCAAGCAGGUUUUAUUAUAAUUACAUUAUUUCUGUAGAUUAGAAAAUAAUCUUCUUGGAACCAAUAUGCAAAUUUAGUAUUUCUUGCUAUUUGUGAAUUAAACAACACAGCAUUUCUUGUAUUCCUACUCAAAGCCCAUGAAAAAUCCCCUCUUAUAGUUGCACACCCUGUGGUAAUUAGCACUUAGUAUUUUUCCUUUUUAGACUUUAAAAAAAAGCAUUUUAAAACAAGUGCAUUUUUUUUCCAGGUUUCUCCCCAGUAUGAUUGCUGUUUCUGAAUGUUUCUAUGCAUGUUAGCAUGUAUGUUUGUUUUGCCUGUUAGUUCAGUUUUGUAGAACAAAUGGAGAAAACGAAAAUAUAGAUUUUUAACCGCAACAAGAUUCCCUGCAGACAGGAUUUUUUCUGUACAGCUAUAGAAAUGCAGCAGCUCAGAGGAAGAGCACAGCAUGUAAUUCUACAUACAUCACAGCCCUUUUUUAUUACUCUUACCACAGCAGCUGAAUGAAGAAUUACAAAAACCAUGUCCCUGAUUCUGUAAAGAUUUAAAAAAGAGGCUUAACUUUAGGCAUACAGGUAACUUCAAAGGGAGUUAAGUGAAACUAGAAGAUGUGAGUAUUUCAUGACAGAUGCAUGCAUUAGAGAAAAUGAUCUGUACAAAACUUCAUCCAGAAGUUCUGGAAUUAUGUUAAUUGACCCUGGAGAGCCAAACAAAAACUCGGUCGAAAUUAUUUUCAGAAUUUAAACCCAACACUUUUGCAAAACACAUCCCAGUGUAAUGGAUAUUGCUAUGAUUGCAUAUCCGCUGGUUUUCUAUAGGCAAAGGGUGAAAUCCCAGCACUGCAGAAGGGAGUGGGAGCACUGCCAUUGAUUUUACUGAUGCCAGAAUUUUGCCCAAAACACUAAUGCUUCCUCUGGCUCUGAGUUUUCUUCUACCAACUCUGACAUUGUUUUCUGCACCUCUGCUGUCACAUUGCAUGGGGUGCAAGAGCCCUUUAAAAUUAACAGUGGGCUUGAGCUGCAGAGGAUGGAUCAUUGAUCAAACCUCUGAAUGCAUCUGACAGAGUUUAAUCAGGUGUUUGAUUCCAGCCCUCUGCACAGACACCCCUCUUCCCACACUCUCAAUUUUGUUGGCACACCUGUUGUGACCCAGGUGGGCAAUUUUGUGCAUUUAGCAAAUCCCGGCCUGGGGGGGCAAACUAAGCAUCAAUUUUAUUUCCCCAUGAGGAGCAAGCUAUGUCAAGUACUGCACAUCACUUUAUGAUCAUGCUAAAGCCACUGCGACAACAAGCCACCUCAGCAAGCUGUCAUUUUAAUGUUUGAUCCGUUUUCUUUUCGUGUGUGUUUGCUCCACAUUUCAGUGAAGCCUCAUCUCCCCUGCCCACCGCCAUCGGCUACGAGGCUGCAGCAAAGCAUGUCACAUACAAUGAACCAGGAAAACUCCACACAAAACCUUCUGAUCACUGGCUUCCAGAGGAAAAUUCCCUCCUGGCCAGAAGGAGAGGAGGACAAGUGAGACAGUGAGGUGGCACCUGCAUGGGGGCAGCAUUCCAGCAGCCAGGAGCGUUAUCCUGGUGGUUUUCUGCGGGACAGGGAUGGGGUCCCCCCUCUGUGCCUCACUGCCACAGCUCUGCGGGAUGCCCCUGCCCGUUUAUCACUUCAAACCAAGCUGAACAGCUCCACUGUAAUACUGCAAAUUACAGGCCUUCUAGAGCAUAAUUUUAAAGGACUUAGACUUGUGUUGUCUUUUAGCUUUCUGUUCAUCUAGCUAGUUAAGGUUCUGAAGUCCUAAUCUAGUUCCCAUUAAGACAAAGAAAAGGAUUCCUUUCUCUGUGAAAUGUUAUACCCCAGGAAGCCAAAAACGUUGGUGUCUGCCUUAGACAUGUAUAUCUUACUGGCAUUAACAGCUCAACCUAUAGAUUUUUCUUCAUCAGUGGGGAAGUUUUAUUCUUAUCCCCAUUUUACAGGAUGAAAUCUCUUAUCCAGCAAAGUAUGUGAGCAUGUGCCAGUUUCAACAGAGCUGGUGGAACCUUUCCAGGAUAGACAGCAUUUGCCAAAAGUGCAAUUUGAAGUGGAAAACUAUUCACAAAUUCUGGUUGAAUGUAAUGCAGAGUUUUGUCAGAAAGAAAAUCAGGGGAAAUACUUUUCUCGGGGAAGUUUAAAUGUUUCAUUUCAGUAUUUUCAAAAUAAACUAUAUAAUUUUCACCUUUCUUAUACCACUUAGUUUUCAAAAUUAACCAUUUUACUUCAUUGCUGUUUUGAAAAUAAUCUGGUCAAUUGAAUGUUAGACUUCUCAGUAAAAGAGUGAAUUGUCGCUGCUCAAAGUUUCAUUUUGAAGUUUUGAAAUGAAGGGUUUGCUCAGCUAGAAUAUUUUUUGGUUUAAAUUUUGGGUUAAAAACAAUAUGAAAACUUCCAUUCUAGAUCAGGCAAUGCAAUCUGGGCUGACCCAAAAUGAAACUUUGGGGGGGCUUUUAUGUCUGUUCUGCUGACACUUUGUGUGUUUCAGGUUGAACCUCACCUGAAUCAUUUUUGCAGUUUGCUGUUCAGCCACCAGCCCGAAGGGAACACGUCCGUGCAGCUCCUGCUGGAGCAGUUUCACAGCUCUAUUGUUUUCCCUUGACUCCUGUGAAACUACCUGUGCUGGGAGUCAGCCACGUGGCUUUGAGUCUCCCUGAAUCGAUGCCCAAACAAACUUCGGGAAGUCAAACCAGGUGAUGGGCAGAGCCCAGCAAGGAGCCCCAGAAUCCUGGCUGGCUCUUUGCUGCUCUGAGCUCAGGACCCUUCUUAUCCUCCAGGUUUGCAGAGCUCCGUACAACACAUCUGGCUUAAGAGGGAAGGAUGGGGGCUGAAAGGGGAAUUAUUUUCUUUUGGAGCUUUCAGUGCUUAUGACCCAAAUUGGGGAAGUGUGUAAGCUGAAAGAAAUGCCUGGGUGGAUUUGAAACUGAGAUCAGGGCUACAUUUUUCAGUGGUUCUUAUAUUAGUUUAAAAUGUUCUUUUCCCUCUUAUGAGCAUAACUUCCUUUAAAUAAAUACACAGAUAACUUCUCCUAGUUGCCAAGAGUUUUCCCAUCCUCUUAUAAUAGCUCCUCAUAAUAAUGCAAAAUAAGCAAUAAAACAAAAAUGAGUUGAAAUAAUUUUGCAACGACUACUUUAACAAUUAAUCUGCUCAGGGAACAGCAGGAGCAACAAAGACAUAAAUUUAAACAUGUACCUCUAAAUAGUAUAAUUACCUUUUAAGUUUCAAACUGUACACAUGAAAAAGAAUUCCAACCAGCCAAGAGAAAAGGAAACAUGAUCCAAAGGAUGCUUGCUACACACCAAAAUAUUUUCCACCAAACUAAGUUUUAUGAACUGCCCAAUGCCAGUGAUAUGUAUCUGCAGCUCACUCACUCUGCCUUAAUUUGUUGCUCUGUGUGACAAGUGGUAGUCUGAUCCAGCCUGACAUGCCAUGGUAUGCACAGCACACAUAUAUCAUGAUAAGACAGUUGAAAACCAAAGACAAACAGCCCCAAAGAGAGAGCUAAACAGCAUGAUCCAGCAGCGGCCUGCAUCCAUCAGAGGGAGGGUAUUUGGGAUGGCACACCUUCCCCUUGCAAGUAAAUAAAUACUGAUUGUGUGCUACAGUGGGAGUGAACGAGAUAACACAGUGUUCCCAUGGACAGCCUCGUUUCUUCUCCUCCGUGUGUAUCAGUUACAUUCUUUUUAAUGACAUCCUUUUUUAUCAGUGUAGUGAAGAAACAGAGUGUCCUGGACUUGUAAACCCCACUGAAAUGAGAAGAUGGAAUCACUUGCUGUUCACUGGAGAAGGAGACAAACCCAGCUGCUGCUGCUGCUGCUGCUGCUGUAACACAAUGCUCUGGCAGUGAAGAUCUUCUGUUCUUUAUUACAUUGGUAAAAGCACCAGGAAUUCAACUGGCUUCAUUUCUGGCCAAUUUCAGGUUCCUCUUUUAAGGACACAAAAUAUUUCCAGGCUAUAACUGAAGUGGUUUGGUUGUCCAGGAUUCCUCUGGCGAAGAGGAUGAGCUCUUCAGUGUUUGAGGUUCUGAGAGGAGCUACUGCCCAGCUGAAGCAAUGUUAGUUGCACUUCCAUUGCUAAAAAACUCAGUAAGAAACAAGUGACUUUUUGUCAUUUAUUGAAUGAAGGUGUUGGUAAUUAUGACAAAGAGCUCACUUUGAAGGGGUAGUUUUAAGAUACCACAACAAAAACACAUAUCUCAGAUAUCACAUCUGAGGUGUUUCUGAGGCUCUGGGAUGCAGGUGUUUACAGCAUUACACAGGUCUGAUUUUCAUGACUAGAAAACUGACACACACUAACACAAUUGUUUUUAUCACCUUUAUUUGGGUCACAAAAAUUAUAAAAAGCCAGGGAAAACAUGGCAGUAAUUUGUAAUUAAUUUUUCAGUGUUAUUUUUGUAAAGAAUGAUAUUUUGACCAAGUGAAAGCUGUCUUCACUUCGGUCCCUUUGAGUUCAGCAUUGCAAGGUUCUAGCUGAGAAGCUGAGAACUUCAGUUUAUCUUAAAGUGCUCUUAAAGCUGUGUCUGUGGUGUUGUACUACCUCACUUUGAGGAACUGGGAUGAAGAACUGGGUGUGUGCUGCAUCUGCUUAGUGUUUCUACAGACUGUGCAGGAUGAUCACUCGUCCAGAAAGAGACACUUUCCACUCUACAUGAACAUCAGUGGAAAUGCAGAUAGUUUCAGAGCAGUUCUCUUUUUAUCAUAGUAAAGUGCCAUUCCCUAUGGACCUGCUCCAAAGCCUGAUCGUGUCAAUGAAAGGACUCCCAUUGAAUUCAGUGUGACUUGGAGUGGUUCCUAAAAAUGGGAACAAAGCAGCAAGCUUCAUAAAUCUUCUGAUGUGGUCCUUAAAGUGAGAACUCAGACCCCAUGGGGCAAAGGUUUGUGAUUAGAAAUACAAUUUGGCCUCUCAUUCUUCCUGAGCUGAGCCAUUCAGGUCUCACUGAAGAUUCAUUCUUUUGGAAAUAUCAUAUGCCAGUCAGCACGAGGGAUCAUUGGUCUGUUAAAUGCUACAUUAUGCCUUUUACUUUUCAUUAUGAUAUGAGAUUUGAUUAAGGCAGUCAAUGACCCUGUGCUUAGAAGCAGAAGGGAAAAAAAA